RNAcentral lists this unclassified non-coding RNA (378 nucleotides) under uncultured Chlamydiales bacterium. RNAcentral's name for it is "contains 16S-23S intergenic spacer region". The record is from RNAcentral. Lineage: Bacteria; Pseudomonadati; Chlamydiota; Chlamydiia; Chlamydiales.
UCCUGGUUAACCCAGGCAGUCUCGUUAGAGUUCCCACCUUUACGUGUUGGCAACUAACGAUAAGGGUUGCGCUCGUUGCUGGACUUAACCAAACACCUCACGGCACGAGCUGACGACAGCCAUGCAGCACCUAUAUAGAGGCCCUUUCGGGCUAUACCAUCUCUGGUAUAUCCCUCUAUAUUUCAAGCCCAGGUAAGGUUCUUCGCGUUGCAUCGAAUUAAACCACAUGCUCCACUGCUUGUGCGGGCCCCCGUCAAUUCUUUUGAGUUUCACCCUUGCGAGCGUACUCCCCAGGCGGCAUACUUAAUGCGUUAGCUCCGGUACAGAGGGGGUUGAUCCCUCCUACACCUAGUAUGCAUCGUUUAAGGCAUGGACUAC